This 745-nucleotide long non-coding RNA is filed under the name Fukomys damarensis (Damara mole-rat). RNAcentral's name for it is "lncRNA (ENSFDAG00000022792.1)". The record is from RNAcentral. Lineage: Eukaryota; Metazoa; Chordata; Mammalia; Rodentia; Bathyergidae.
UGCUUAUUUAGGAGGAGUGAGUUACUUUUAACCUAUCACAGGCCAAAUUGCCUUUAUGGGCCCAGUCCUGCAGACACAGGUUUCAACUUUCCUGGACCACUGUGGCCUUGGGGAGGGGGGAACCAGAGAUAAGGGCAUGAGGCCAUUUUAGGAGCCAAGAGGUACCAGGAGAAGGCAGCCUGUGAGGCGGCGUCACAGCAUACUUUAACACGAUCAAUUCCCUAACAGGGUGGGUGUUAGAGACUCCCAGGAGGAAUCCUGCCUUCAAGGGACACUGAGCAAGGGGCAACCUCCAGGCCGCAUUCUGCUGUCCCUUCUGCUGCGAAGCUUAAAGCCCACCGCGCUGCAUUUGAUUUGCUUUCCCGUUCCCUCAUCACACCACUGCAGAGCUGUUACUUCGUGCCGGAGUCGCGACUGAGCUCUCCACACAGCCUCACACCGACUCCCAGCCCGGCACCGACAGACCAAACCGACACAGUUUUCAGAAGCCUCCCUUGGCGGCCUAGCAUUUCUGCUCAGGUCUGCCGGGCCGGCUGCGUACAGAGGCCCCAGUGCGCUGAUGGCCCAGAGGCCCCAGAGGCUGCAGCGGUCCCUCCUCCUGGGCAGGCCCCGGGGCUGCUCCUGGGCCUCCUGGGCCUCCUGGGCCUGGCUGGGGAAGGGCUGGGGCAGAGGAGAGACAGACAGGACGGCAGCUCUGCAGCCCAGCUGUGUGUGUGAAGGUGGGAGCCAGCGCUGGCCCCAGGGA